Molecule: ribosomal RNA, 523 nt
Filed under: Bacillus subtilis
Lineage: Bacteria; Bacillati; Bacillota; Bacilli; Caryophanales; Bacillaceae
Description: bacterial SSU rRNA
Rfam family: Bacterial small subunit ribosomal RNA
Source: RNAcentral
GUAGGGCGAAAAAUUGGGGGGCGGUAAUUACAUGCAUCUCGAGCGGACAGAUGGGAGCUUGCUCCCUGAUGUUAGCGGCGGACGGGUGAGUAACACGUGGGUAACCUGCCUGUAAGACUGGGAUAACUCCGGGAAACCGGGGCUAAUACCGGAUGGUUGUUUGAACCGCAUGGUUCAAACAUAACCAAUUGGUGGCUUCGGCUACCACUUACAGAUCGCAUUAGCUAGUUGGUGAGGUAACGGCUCACCAAGGCAACGAUGCGUAGCCGACCUGAGAGGGUGAUCGGACUGAGGACACGGUCCCAGACUCCUACGGGAGGCAGCAGUAGGGAAUCUUCCGCAAUGGACUCUGACGGAGCAACGGAUGAAGGUUUUCUCGUAAAGCUCUGUUGUUAGGGAAGAACAAGUACCGUUCGAAUAGGGCGGUACCUACCUAACCAGCCAAAGCCACGGCUAACUACGUGCCAGCAGCCGCGGUAAUACGUAGGGUGGCAAGCGUUGUCCGGAAUUAUUGGGCGUAAAG